UUAGAUUCUUUUCAGUUUAGGUUUUGUAGAUUUUCUUUGUUCAGCAAUAAAGCUGUUUUGAGUUCACCGUUUUGUCUCCGGAGUCUGCACCUUGGGUCCUAUUCCUGUCUGCACUCAGCCGUAACAUGACAGUAGGGGCUUUUGCCAUAAAGACUCAGUCACCUCUGUGAGUUAUAAUUCGGACCUUAGGUCAGGUUAGGAGCAUCUGCUCAGCAGACCUCAGUGGGAGUGCGCAAAGUUAAAAGAUGAGAGAGUAUGACGGUCUUUUGUGGCCAUGGUCCAGCAGGCCGUUCUUCACGGAUGAGCGGCGGUAGGGAUGUCGAUUAAUGGAUGACCUCAUGCUGUCUCCCCGGCGAAGAUGUUCGUCCUGAUCGCUGCCGUUUGCCAUCUUGGUGAGAGACCCGACCCGGUGUAUCAGACCUCCGUUAGAGACGCCGCCGUCACCCACAACACCGCCCUGACCUGCAAAAGGAGGUCUUCGUUCAGAGCCAAGCGCAUCUCUGGACCCAGAUCCUGCAGAGUCUUCAGACCAGCUUUACAGAGCUACACGGAAACACAAAUAAAUUCAUGAAGACAUACUCGCUGUAACAGCAUCAUACACAAAUACAGUUCCCAGUUUUUUUCCUAAAGGCAUCCUCGGGCUUUGGUUGGAAUCUAAUUCAGUUUUAAAAGCUCCUUCUCAAAAGCAUCACAACUGAUGACCGAAUUAAUGAGGGAAUUGUGUUUGCAAGUUAAACAGAUAUUCCAGAUGUGCUUUCAUGAUCUUUCUGAGGUGGUCCAAGGCAAGAGGAGCUAUAUAAUCUCUCGAGCGACCUCUGGGUCUUCUAAAGGGUUUCCACCAAGUUGGGUGUGUCUGGAAAACCUCCAAAGAUGUCCAAGAGGAAUUUUUACCUGAUGCUCUCACCACCUCAACUGGGUUCUUUCUGUUCAAAGGAGCAAUAAUUCUAUUGCAAGCUACCUUUGGAUGUCUUGGCUCCUCACCUCAUCUCUAAAGUUGACCUACCCACCCUACAGAAGAAACUCAUUUCAGCCACUUUUCUCUGCAGCCUUGUUUUUUCACUACUCAAACUCAUGAUGGUAGUUUAGUGCUCGCAUGCAGAUCAACUGGUAAACUGGAAGCUUUGCCCUCCAGUUCAGCACUCUCUUCAGCAGGAAACGAACAUCACAAAUCUUUGGGUUGAUCUCAUGCUUUACCUUCGCUUUACUCACAAACAAGACCUUUGGCUUCUUCAGUUGUUAAAAGGAACAAAACCAUGUUGGGUUACUGCUGCCUGUCUUAAUAUUGCCCCAUACUCUUGGUCUGCAUCUUGCCACUUUGCAGCCAUGCCUUCUGUCAGUAAAUAGACAGACAGACCUGGACAGCAGAUGGAUUGGGUGAGUCAUUCUCUCCGGUCAGAUCUCCUUUUUCUUUCCUCCUCCUGAACUUCCUGAAGUAGUCUUGGAUGAGGAAAGUAGCAUAAAACUUCCCAACAGUUACUUCCUCCUCUGUGGAUAAAGAAGUGAGAGUUCAGUCUGCAGGACUCCUGCUGAGACAGUAACAGUACUACGUCGUCGUGUGAGCAGCAAGAGUACCUUCAUGUGGCGGUAUGACUUCGUCCAAAAGUUUUGGCUUCAUUCUCUUCCAGAUCUUCUUGAUGAUCACCCUCAGCUCCUCGUUCUCCUGCUCAGGGUUACCUAGCAACAGGUAAAUCAGAUAAAAGUUAUGGCUACUGUGUUUACAGGCUUGUGGCUUAUUAACAGGGACUCAUUUCUAUUUUUGUAUUGAUUCAAUGAUUAAGAAUUCAAUAUUACAGAGAAGCUAUAAAUGACCAAGACAACAGAGUGUGAACUCAAAUUUAACUUUUUAAAAUUACUGCAUAACAGCAUCCUGAUCAUGAUGCAUUAGUAGCUGUCCAUUAUUGAUUUCCAGAUAGUAAAGCUAUAAAACCUAAAAGUUUUCCUCAAUAAUGUCAGCCUUUUAGGCAGAAAAGUAAAGAGGAGCCAUGAUUUCCUGAAGUCUUUAAUUUGUCCACAAUCACUCCUGUGUGUUUAUAGCAGCAGGGUCCUGCAAAGACCCAUCACAUACCUUCAGUCUUGAUUUUAAGUGCAGUGCGAACCAGAGCAAAUAACGUGGCAUUGAAGGUCACCAUCCCAUCAGCAUUCAGAGGCAUGUUCAUCGCUACCAGACGCUGAGAUGGAGAGGUGGCGACUCUGUGAGGGCAAAGCUUCCCAAAACCCAGAGGAGGCUGAAUCCUCCUCAGCAGUGCAACAACGUCCAGGUGUUUUAUUCGACCUCUGAGAAUAAAGAACAAUCAGG
Oreochromis aureus is the source of this 2296-nucleotide long non-coding RNA. RefSeq lists it as uncharacterized. Lineage: Eukaryota; Metazoa; Chordata; Actinopteri; Cichliformes; Cichlidae. The record is from RefSeq and is a predicted model, not a curated record. The transcript is spliced from 4 exons.